UCGGACUCAACGCCGGGAAACUCACCAGAUAAGACAGCUGAAUGAUAGUCGGGCUGAAGACUCUACUUGACUAGCUGAGAGGAGGUGCAUGGCCGUCGUCAGUUCGUACUGUGAAGCAUCCUGUUAAGUCAGGCAACGAGCGAGACCCACGCCAACAGUUGCCAGCUCGUCCUCCGGGAUGGUGGGGACACUGUUGGGACCGCCUCUGCUAAAGAGGAGGAAGGAAUGGGCAACGGUAGGUCAGCAUGCCCCGAAUUAUCUGGGCUACACGCGGGCUACAAUGGGUGGGACAAUGGGUAUCGACACCGAAAGGUGAAGGCAAUCUCCUAAACCUGUCCUUAGUUCGGAUUGUGGGCUGCAACUCGCCCACAUGAAGCUGGAAUCCGUAGUAAUCGCGUUUCAAAAUAGCGCGGUGAAUAUGUCCCUGCUCCUU
This 433-nucleotide ribosomal RNA is filed under the name uncultured Methanomicrobiales archaeon. RNAcentral describes it as "bacterial SSU rRNA". It matches the Rfam family "Archaeal small subunit ribosomal RNA", at positions 906 to 1338 of the family's 1478-position model. The record is from RNAcentral. Lineage: Archaea; Methanobacteriati; Methanobacteriota; Methanomicrobia; Methanomicrobiales.